UACGCAGGGCCCAAGCGUUGUCCGGAAUUAUUGGGCGUAAAGAGCUCGUAGGCGGCCUGUUGCGUCCGCUGUGAAAACGCGAGGCUCAACCUCGCGCCUGCAGUGGGUACGGGCAGACUAGAGUGCGGUAGGGGAGAUUGGAAUUCCUGGUGUAGCGGUGGAAUGCGCAGAUAUCAGGAGGAACACCGAUGGCGAAGGCAGAUCUCUGGGCCGUAACUGACGCUGAGGAGCGAAAGCGUGGGGAGCGAACAGG
Molecule: ribosomal RNA, 253 nt
Filed under: uncultured bacterium
Lineage: Bacteria
Description: partial 16S ribosomal RNA
Rfam family: Bacterial small subunit ribosomal RNA
Source: RNAcentral